Molecule: ribosomal RNA, 578 nt
Filed under: uncultured Bacillota bacterium
Lineage: Bacteria; Bacillati; Bacillota
Description: bacterial SSU rRNA
Source: RNAcentral
GAGUUUGAUCAUGGCUCAGGACGAACGCUGGCGGCACGCCUAACACAUGCAAGUCGAACGGAGAUAUUUUGGUUUACUGAGAUAUCUUAGUGGCGGACGGGUGAGUAACACGUGAGCAACCUGCCUCUGAGAGAGGGAUAGCUUCUGGAAACGGAUGGUAAUACCUCAUAACAUAACGAAGCCGCAUGACUUUGUUAUCAAAGAUUUAUCACUCAGAGAUGGGCUCGCGUCUGAUUAGAUAGUUGGUGAGGUAACGGCCCACCAAGUCGACGAUCAGUAGCCGGACUGAGAGGUUGAACGGCCACAUUGGGACUGAGACACGGCCCAGACUCCUACGGGAGGCAGCAGUGGGGAAUAUUGCACAAUGGGGGAAACCCUGAUGCAGCGAUGCCGCGUGGAGGAAGAAGGUUUUCGGAUUGUAAACUCCUGUCUUAAAGGACGAUAAUGACGGUACUUUAGGAGGAAGCUCCGGCUAACUACGUGCCAGCAGCCGCGGGUAAUACGUAKGGAGCGAGCGUUGUCCGGAAUUACUGGGUGUAAAGGGAGCGUARGCGGGAUAGCWAGUCAGAUGUGAMAMC